This 505-nucleotide ribosomal RNA is filed under the name uncultured bacterium. Its description in RNAcentral is "partial 16S ribosomal RNA". It matches the Rfam family "Bacterial small subunit ribosomal RNA", at positions 28 to 507 of the family's 1533-position model. The record is from RNAcentral.
GACGAACGCUGGCGGCGUGCCUAAUACAUGCAAGUCGAACGCACAGUUUAUACCGUAGCUUGCUACACCAUAAACUGUGAGUUGCGAACGGGUGAGUAACGCGUAGGUAACCUGCCUGGUAGCGGGGGAUAACUAUUGGAAACGAUAGCUAAUACCGCAUAAUAUUAAUUAUUGCAUGAUAAUUGAUUGAAAGAUGCAAUUGCAUCACUACCAGAUGGACCUGCGUUGUAUUAGCUAGUAGGUGAGGUAACGGCCCACCUAGGCGACGAUACAUAGCCGACCUGGGAGGGUGAACGGCCACACUGGGACUGAGACACGGGCCAGACUCCUACGGGAGGCAGCAGUAGGGAAUCUUCGGCAAUGGACGAAAGGCUGACCGAGCAACGCCGCGGGAGGGAAGAAGGGUGUCGGAUCGUAAAGCUCUGUUGUAAGAGAAGAACGGGUGUGAGAGUGGAAAGUUCACACUGUGACGGUAGCUUAACAGAAAGGGACGGCUAACUACGUG